RNAcentral lists this ribosomal RNA (466 nucleotides) under uncultured bacterium. Its description in RNAcentral is "partial 16S ribosomal RNA". It matches the Rfam family "Bacterial small subunit ribosomal RNA", at positions 28 to 507 of the family's 1533-position model. The record is from RNAcentral.
GAUGAACGCUGGCGGCGUGCUUAACACAUGCAAGUCGAACGAUGAAGCCCAGCUUGCUGGGUGUAUUAGUGGCGAACGGGUGAGUAACACGUGAGUAACCUGCCCUUAACUCUGGGAUAAGCCUGGGAAACUGGGUCUAAUACCGGAUAGGAGCGCCUACCGCAUGGUGGGUGUUGGAAAGAUUUAUCGGUUUUGGAUGGACUCGCGGCCUAUCAGCUUGUUGGUGAGGUAAUGGCUCACCAAGGCGACGACGGGUAGCCGGCCUGAGAGGGUGACCGGCCACACUGGGACUGAGACACGGCCCAGACUCCUACGGGAGGCAGCAGUGGGGAAUAUUGCACAAUGGGCGAAAGCCUGUUGCAGCGACGCCGCGUGAGGGAUGACGGCCUUCGGGUUGUAAACCUCUUUCAGUAGGGAAGAAGCGAAAGUGACGGUACCUGCAGAAGAAGCACCGGCUAACUACGUG